RNAcentral lists this transfer RNA (59 nucleotides) under Corchorus capsularis. The record is from Rfam by way of RNAcentral. Lineage: Eukaryota; Viridiplantae; Streptophyta; Magnoliopsida; Malvales; Malvaceae.
GCUUUCAUAGCACCUGUUUAGUAAGCGGGAGGUCUUGAGUUCGACUCUGAAUGAAAGCA